CAAUCGAUUGUCAUGCAGGUUUGAAGAAACCUGAUUUUGACUGCCUUAACACAAUCGAUUGUCAUUAGUUCACAAUCGAUUGUCAUGCAUUCUUGGCUUAAUACAAUCGAUUAUCAUUAGUACAUAAUCGAUUAUCUUAGUCCAGUUUUCAGAGGCAUUUAAAAAUCAUUUUGACUAAUGAAAAUAUGCAUGAUUUAAAAU
This 201-nucleotide long non-coding RNA is filed under the name Nicotiana benthamiana. RNAcentral describes it as "long non-coding RNA (NBEN_LNC035647)". The record is from RNAcentral. Lineage: Eukaryota; Viridiplantae; Streptophyta; Magnoliopsida; Solanales; Solanaceae.